CAGCAGCCGCGGUAAUACGAAGGGUGCAAGCGUUACUCGGAAUUACUGGGCGUAAAGCGUGCGUAGGUGGUGGUUUAAGUCCGUUGUGAAAGCCCUGGGCUCAACCUGGGAAUUGCAGUGGAUACUGGAUCACUAGAGUGUGGUAGAGGAUAGUGGAAUUUCCGGUGUAGCAGUGAAAUGCGUAGAGAUCGGAAGGAACAUCUGUGGCGAAGGCGACUAUCUGGGCCAACACUGACACUGAGGCACGAAAGCGUGGGGAGCAAACAGGAUUAGAUACCCGUGUAGUCCCUGUCUCUUAUAA
RNAcentral lists this ribosomal RNA (301 nucleotides) under uncultured bacterium. RNAcentral's name for it is "partial 16S ribosomal RNA". It matches the Rfam family "Bacterial small subunit ribosomal RNA", at positions 509 to 809 of the family's 1533-position model. The record is from RNAcentral.